AUUGAACGCUGGCGGCAUGCCUUACACAUGCAAGUCGAACGGUAACAGGUUAAGCUGACGAGUGGCGAGCGGGUGAGUAAUGUAUCGGAACGUGCCCAGUCGUGGGGGAUAACUGCUCGAAAGAGCAGCUAAUACCGCAUACGACCUGAGGGUGAAAGCGGGGGCUCGCAAGACCUCGCGCGAUUGGAGCGGCCGAUAUCAGAUUAGGUAGUUGGUGAGGUAAAGGCUCACCAAGCCGACGAUCUGUAGCUGGUCUGAGAGGACGACCAGCCACACUGGGACUGAGACACGGCCCAGACUCCUACGGGAGGCAGCAGUGGGGAAUUUUGGACAAUGGGCGCAAGCCUGAUCCAGCCAUGCCGCGUGCGGGAAGAAGGCCUUCGGGUUGUAAACCGCUUUUGUCAGGGAAGAAAAGGUUCUGGCUAAUACCUGGGACUCAUGACGGUACCUGAAGAAUAAGCACCGGCUAACUACGUG
RNAcentral lists this ribosomal RNA (477 nucleotides) under uncultured bacterium. RNAcentral's name for it is "partial 16S ribosomal RNA". It matches the Rfam family "Bacterial small subunit ribosomal RNA", at positions 30 to 507 of the family's 1533-position model. The record is from RNAcentral.